CCCGGCAUCGAUUCCGACGCUUUGAGGUAGGACGAGCAGAGUAUAUCGCUCUGUCUAAUCUUACGAGUCGUGGGGAGUGUCGUAAUGACGAGAACUAGGCGAAAUCGGGAAUAGCCACCCGUUUUAGGGAGGUUCAGCUGAUCUCUGGAGCCACUGAAAAACACACUAAGAAGGAUCCUUCAUGAUCGUACCUAGAACCGACACAGGUGUCCCUAGGCUAGAAACCUAAGGCGUUUCGGGCAUACAGUAAUGCGCGGGAACUCGGCACAUUAGCCCCGUACCUUUGGUAUAAGGGGUGCCAGCCGCGCGAGCGGCUGGUCGCAGUGACAAGGGAGCCCCGACUGUUUAACCAAAACACAGGUGGCCGCCAGAUCGAAAGGUUGUGUACGGCCGCUGAAGCCUGCCCAGUGCUGGUAUCUGAAAGCUCGUUUCAACGGGACGAAGGACCAGUAAACGGCGGGGGUAACUAUGACCCUCUUAAGGUGAAACGUCGCCUUAACAAAAACCGGCCAUAUGCGGGGAACUCCGAGGAUCCGUGCGUACCGCGACUGCGGUAACAAUCGCACGGUGCGGACAAUCCGCAGGGAAGGCCGAUCCCGGAAACGGGGUCGGAACCCUCAGAGACUUUACGCCGAUCACCGCGGAAGCGGUGAAGAUAAAGUCCGACCCCCAUGGCGACAUGGGGAGGCCGCGAGAAAUCGCGACCCGCCUAUUCCCUCGAUGUGAACACGAACGUGUACGCGCGAGGGAGAGGUCUCGAAAGCAACAGAUGUGAGCGUAAUACCUUGUCGCUUAAUUGGCGACUUGCAUGAAGGCCCAACGAGAGCUCUCCUGUCCCCGCGUGGAGGCCGGUGAAACUGACGUACUGGCGCACAGUCCAGUACCUUCCACCUGAAAGCGAAGACCCCGUGGAGCUUUACUGCAGUCUGUCGCUGCCGUAUGAGUUUGGAUGUGUAGCGUAGGCGGGACUCGUUACAAAGGGCCGACCGCUAGGGCGGCACCGAGAGGCCGAUGAAACACCGCCCUUCUGGAUUCGUACGGCUUACCCCUUCGGAGGGACAACGAUAGGUAGGCAGUUUGGGUGGGGCGCCACGCCCUCAAAAAGAUAACAAGGGCGCCCAAAGGUUGGCUUAGGAGGGUCAGAAAUCCUCCGUUAACUGUAAGGGGAAAAGCCAGCCUGACGUGGACUUGCCCAACGAGAGUCCACGAGAGGAAACUCGGGCCUAGCGAACCCAUGAGCCUGAUUUGUGCGGGCCAUGGAUGACAGAAAAGUUACCCCGGGGAUAACUGAGUCGUCUCCGGCUAGAGUUCCUAUCGACCCGGAGGCUUGCUACUUCGACGUCGGCUCUUCCUAUCCUGGUGGUGCAUGAGCUGCCAAGGGUGGGGUUGUUCGCCCAUUAAAAGGGAUCGUGAGCUGGGUUCAGACCGUCGUGAGACAGGUUUGUUGCUUUUUGGUGGAAGCGCUUUGAUGCCUGAGGGGAAGGUCCCUUAAGUACGAGAGGAACGGGGGAUCGGCGCCUCUAGUGUAUGGGUUGUCUGGCAAGGCAUUGCCCAGCAGCCACGCGCCAUGCGGAUAACGGCUGAAAGCAUCUAAGCCGGAAACCGUCCUCAAGACGAGGCAUCUUACGGCCGCGGUAAUCGACCGCGUUGAUAGAGCGGGGGUGUACGCAGGAAGUUCGCAAGAGCGACCUGUUCAGCCCGCCGCCACUCAUCGCCGUAGCCACACUA
RNAcentral lists this ribosomal RNA (1728 nucleotides) under soil metagenome. Its description in RNAcentral is "bacterial LSU rRNA". It matches the Rfam family "Archaeal large subunit ribosomal RNA", at positions 1556 to 2987 of the family's 2987-position model. The record is from RNAcentral.